RNAcentral lists this non-coding RNA (32 nucleotides) under Mus musculus (house mouse). The record is from RNAcentral. Lineage: Eukaryota; Metazoa; Chordata; Mammalia; Rodentia; Muridae.
UCAGAGGAACGUCAAGAACACACCUUAAGGGU